Molecule: ribosomal RNA, 482 nt
Filed under: uncultured bacterium
Lineage: Bacteria
Description: partial 16S ribosomal RNA
Rfam family: Bacterial small subunit ribosomal RNA
Source: RNAcentral
AUUGAACGCUGGCGGCAUGCCUUACACAUGCAAGUCGAACGGUAACAGGUCUUCGGACGCUGACGAGUGGCGAACGGGUGAGUAAUGCAUCGGAACGUGCCCAGUCGUGGGGGAUAACUGCUCGAAAGAGCAGCUAAUACCGCAUACGACCUGAGGGUGAAAGCGGGGGACCGUAAGGCCUCGCGCGAUUGGAGCGGCCGAUGUCAGAUUAGCUAGUUGGUGGGGUAAAGGCCUACCAAGGCAACGAUCUGUAGUUGGUCUGAGAGGACGACCAGCCACACUGGGACUGAGACACGGCCCAGACUCCUACGGGAGGCAGCAGUGGGGAAUUUUGGACAAUGGGCGCAAGCCUGACCCAGCAAUGCCGCGUGCAGGAAGAAGGCCUUCGGGUUGUAAACUGCUUUUGUCAGGGAAGAAAUCUUCUGGGCUAAUACCCCGGGAGGAUGACGGUACCUGAAGAAUAAGCACCGGCUAACUACGUG